This 173-nucleotide ribosomal RNA is filed under the name uncultured bacterium. Its description in RNAcentral is "partial 16S ribosomal RNA". It matches the Rfam family "Bacterial small subunit ribosomal RNA", at positions 1328 to 1500 of the family's 1533-position model. The record is from RNAcentral.
GGAAUUGCUAGUAAUGGCAGGUCAGCAUACUGCCGUGAAUACGUUCCCGGGCCUUGUACACACCGCCCGUCACACCAUGAGAGUCGGGAACACCCGAAGUCCGUAGCCUAACCGCAAGGAGGACGCCGCCGAAGGUGGGGUUGAUGAUUAGGGUUAAGUCGUAACAAGGUAGC